CAGCGCAGUGUAGCAAUACAUGGGCGGCGACCGGCAAACGGGUGCGGAACACGUACACAACCUUCCUACAAGUGGGGAAUAGCCCAGAGAAAUUUGGAUUAAUACCCCGUAACAUAUAAAGAUGGCAUCAUUUUUAUAUUAUAGCUACGGCGCUUGUUGAUGGGUGUGCGGCUGAUUAGGUAGUUGGCGGGGUAAUGGCCCACCAAGCCUGCGAUCAGUAGCUGAUGUGAGAGCAUGAUCAGCCACACGGGCACUGAGACACGGGCCCGACUCCUACGGGAGGCAGCAGUAAGGAAUAUUGGACAAUGGGCGCAAGCCUGAUCCAGCCAUGCCGCGUGAAGGAUUAAGGUCCUCUGGAUUGUAAACUUCUUUUAUAAGGGACGAAAAAAGGGAAUUCUUUCUCACUUGACGGUACCUUAUGAAUAAGCACCGGCUAACUCCGUG
RNAcentral lists this ribosomal RNA (444 nucleotides) under uncultured bacterium. RNAcentral's name for it is "bacterial SSU rRNA". It matches the Rfam family "Bacterial small subunit ribosomal RNA", at positions 67 to 507 of the family's 1533-position model. The record is from RNAcentral.